AUCUUUUAGUGCAUGUGUUUUAGCUUCUGUAUCUUCUGCCUGGCAGAAGUGGUUGGAAGAGAUUAUAUCCGGGUUGGGAGGAGUUUUUGAUGACGUUGGCUGUCUUUCUGAGUCAGUGAGAAGUGUAGAUGGAGUCAAUGGAUGGAAUUGAAUUGGAUGAUCAGCCAUGACUGUAUUAAAUGGCUGAACAUGUUCAAAGGGCCGAAUGGACUGUGCAUGCUCCCGGCUCCCAUGUUCAUGAGCUGCAUUCAUACCUGAGCAGCAAGGUACAUCUUGCUUUAGCUUUGAAUUUGAAAGCACCAUGACUGGAAUCUGGGAAUUUUCAAAGCAAAGCUUUGUUUCCUGAGAAAACGUCAGUUUUUUUUUUAAAACAUGUCUUCAAACCUUGCUGAGUGAUGAGAUUUCUGCAGUUGCAGCCAAUCAGAUGCAAUUGGGGGCAGGAGUGGAUUUCUGCAUCCUCCCACCCCUUACCUGCAGCAAUGACAGGUCUGACUCAAAGCUGCUCAUUUCAAUGAAACUCAGAAACUGGACUCAGUGCAGUGACGUGGGUGGCAGCACGUAUAAAAGAAGCUGUAGGGAAGUUGGAGUGAAUUUCAAAUGCAGAAACCCAUACACUCUGCAUGGACCCUGUGUGAAGCAGAGAGGCAGAGAGGGAGAGAGAUCAAGUAAAUCAGUCUGCUUGUCCGAAAUCGAACUUUUUUGCUAGAUCAGAGAACAAGGUGUCAAUCUUUACGAAUCUUACCUACAAAAGUGACCCACCUGUGAUAGCACAUCCUGAAGAGGAGUUCAGUUUUCUUGCAGGUUCUUUGAGAAAACUAACAAUUUCUACAAGUAUUCCACAGUGGUUUCCAGGAUGAGAACAUUCCUGCUGUUCCUGAUGGUCCUCUGUUUCGAUAGACAGCUUGCAAACCCCCUGGAGAUGGACUGGGACAGAGAUGUUUCAAUGCGUAGACCGCAGCUUGCAGUCAGACCCUUUGAUCACACGAACUCUGAAGAACUCCACCAGGCAGUUGGUUUUCCCUGUUCCAGUCACCCACGGGACCCGAGUGUGAUAACAAAUUCCAAGAAUCCUCUUUACAAUCUCUUCCGAAGACAACAGGCCCUCAGCUGGGAGCUGUGCAUAAUAAAGCUCAUCCUGAACAAACACCACUCACGAGGAGCUGAGUUAGAUUUGGUGAAGAGGGAGAAAGAUUUGGUGAAGAGGGAGAAAGAUUCUGCCUCGUACAACUGGAAUUCUUUUGGAUUAAGAUAUGGGAAGAGUCUGGUUGAUGGUGAGAAGAAAUGAGAGGGAUGGUUUCAGAUAUUAUUACGCUGUGGGCCAUGAUCAGAUGGCCUAUUACUUACCAGAGAUACUAUAAAUUUAUUGUUUAUUAAUAGCUGGCAUCAGAAGGCAUGCCAAUUAUUUCCUCUGUAAUUAACUUCAUAUAAAAUCUUACAUGAAGUUUAAAUGAAGCAUUGAAUGAAUUUGUCAUUAGAAAUGAAGUUUUGAAUUGAAUUGAAUCAGCUUUACUAUCAUAUGUAGUCAAAUGAGUACAGCGAAAAGUUUACAAGUCACUAGU
This is a long non-coding RNA of Chiloscyllium plagiosum (whitespotted bambooshark), 1559 nucleotides long. RefSeq lists it as uncharacterized. The record is from RefSeq and is a predicted model, not a curated record. NCBI's taxonomy places the organism in Eukaryota, Metazoa, Chordata, Chondrichthyes, Orectolobiformes, Hemiscylliidae.